Molecule: ribosomal RNA, 136 nt
Organism: Mustela putorius furo (domestic ferret)
Lineage: Eukaryota; Metazoa; Chordata; Mammalia; Carnivora; Mustelidae
Source: Ensembl
GUCUACGGCCAUACCACCCUGAACGCGCCCGAUCUCGUCUGAUCUCGGAAGCUAAGCAGGGUCAGGCCUGGUUAGUACUUGGAUGGGAGAAAUGCUUGGUCACAAGUUGGGUGAGCACAGAGCACAGCUGGAGACC